This 497-nucleotide ribosomal RNA is filed under the name uncultured bacterium. Its description in RNAcentral is "partial 16S ribosomal RNA". It matches the Rfam family "Bacterial small subunit ribosomal RNA", at positions 28 to 507 of the family's 1533-position model. The record is from RNAcentral.
GAUGAACGCUGGCGGCGUGCCUAAUACAUGCAAGUCGAGCGAACAGACGAGGAGCUUGCUCCUCUGACGUUAGCGGCGGACGGGUGAGUAACACGUGGAUAACCUACCUAUAAGACUGGGAUAACUUCGGGAAACCGGAGCUAAUACCGGAUAAUAUAUUGAACCGCAUGGUUCAAUAGUGAAAGACGGUUUUGCUGUCACUUAUAGAUGUAUCCGCGCCGCAUUAGCUAGUUGGUAAGGUAACGGCUUACCAAGGCAACGAUGCGUAGCCGACCUGAGUGGGUGAUCGGCCACACUGGACCUGAGACACGGUCCAGACUCCUACGGGAGGCAGCAGUAGGGAAUCUUCCGCAAUGGGCGAAAGCCUGACGGAGCAACGCCGCGUGAGUGAUGAAGGUCUUCGGAUCGUAAAGCUCUGUUAUUAGGGAAGAACAAAUGUGUAAGUAACUAUGCACUUCUUGACAGUACCUAAUCAGAAAGCCACGGCUAACUACGUG